Harpia harpyja (harpy eagle) is the source of this 2115-nucleotide RNA transcript. It is a transcript of the gene named glycerophosphodiester phosphodiesterase 1, with no coding region annotated. NCBI's taxonomy places the organism in Eukaryota, Metazoa, Chordata, Aves, Accipitriformes, Accipitridae. The record is from RefSeq and is a predicted model, not a curated record. The transcript has 7 exons.
GAGGAGAGGCGGCGGCGCCCGCGGCUCCGCUCCCGUCCCGUCCCGUCCCGUCCGGUGCGGUCCGGCCCGGCCCGGCGGGCGCCGCUGCCGCCAUGUUGUGCCACGGGGAGGGCCUGCUGAGCUCCCUCACGGCGCUGCUAGGGGUGGUGCUGGCGCUGAGCCGCAGCCCGGCGCUGGCCUGCCUGCUGACGGCCGGCCUGUACCUGGCGCUGCACCUCUUCAGCCUGGAGCCCGCCGCGCCCCAGAGCGCUCAGCGCGUCCUGCGGCCCCGCGGCGCCGCCGCCCGCAUCGCCCACCGCGGCGGCGCCCACGACGCGCCCGAGAACACGCUGGCGGCCAUCCGACAGGCAGCUGAGAAUGGAGCAACGGGUGUUGAGCUGGAUCUUGAAUUUACUGCAGAUGGUGUUCCCAUUCUAAUGCAUGAUGAAACAGUAGAAAGAACAACUGAUGGGUCUGGAAGAUUGCGUGACUUGACUUUUGAUGAAAUUAGGAGGCUUAAUCCAUCUGCAAAACAUAGGCUACGGAACAAAUUCCAAGGUGAAAAGGUACCAACACUGAGAGAAGCUGUUGUGGAGUCUAUGCAUCGCAAUCUUAUAAUCUACUUCGAUGUCAAAGGCCAUGCAAAUCAGGCAGUUGACGCCCUAAAACAACUCUACCUGGAAUUUCCGCGUUUGUAUAACAACAGCGUAGUCUGUUCUUUCAUGCCAGAUGUUGUUUAUAAGAUGAGACAAGCUGACAGAAAUGUUGUAACAGCACUAACACACAGGCCUUGGCAUCUGAGUCAUUUUGGAGAUGGGACACCCCGUUUCAGUUCUUCCUGGAAACAUUAUUUGUAUAUGAUGAUGGAUGUCAUUCUAGAUUGGAGCCUACACAGUUUCUUGUGGCGAUUAUGUGGGGUUUCAGCUUUCCUCAUACAGAAAAAUUUUGUUUCUCAAUCCUAAGUUUAAUCUCAAAGGGGAAGAAAACUGUUGCUUUUGCCUGUUUACAAUAAUAAAACGCAAAAAGAUGAUGUUGGUAAAGAUGACACACUAUUGUUCUUGAUGUGAUACUGAUAGAGUAUGUGAGGCACUGGUCUUCAAAAGGAAUUCAAGUGGUUGCCUGGACAGUGAACACAUUUGCAGAAAAAAGCUACUACGAAAGCGUCCUUGAAUCCAGCUACAUCACCGACAGCUUGGUGGAAGACUGUGAUCCUCAUUACUAGACCUGUGCUUUGUAGACACUCACCACCCUGAAUAAGCUAUCUUACUCGGACAGGUCUGAAUUCACCAUCGAGGGGGUAUCCACUAGUGCAGACGGGACCACUGACGAUAGUUUGGGAAAAGGAGGAGCAGUAGUUUACUUCUGCUGUACGGUCAGAUUUGGAAUGCAGAAAACCCUUCUGUUGCAACACCAGACAAAGCUGAGGUGCAGCCAUUUGCAGUCUGAGGACAUGGCACUGUAACGCAGAAAGAUCAGAUUUGACAAGCUAACUGGGCAGUACACUGUGUGUGCAGGUUGCUUUAUAAUUCUCAGACUAUUGCUUUGUUUUGUUUAAAUCUUGGUUAUAAAGUCAUAUCAGCAAUUUUUGGUGGAAAAAUUUAAAUUCAUACCUUGAUUUUAGUAAUUCAAAGAGUCUGCUCCACAACUGUAUAAUAAUUUGAGGUUGAUUUAUGGCAUCUUAAAAAUGUCUACGUUGCUGUUCUCAAAAAAGAACCUGAAAAUAAUGGUGCCAAAAUAGAGGGUGAGUGUAUUUCCCUCCCACUGCAUGGAAAGAUGGCUGUGCUGCAUCUUGACAAGGAAAAGAAAGCCAACUUUCCAUGUUCAAUGUGAAGACUAUGAGAAUUAACGAAUAAAACUUGAGCAUCUUCCUAUCUUCCAGACUUUUUAAAAGAACAAAGGGAAGAUAGAAGAUUACAUCUUCUAAUGAUACAGCACAUGAAUGUAUUUAUUUUUACAAGAAAGCUAUAUAUUAAGUGGUGGUAGUAGUAGAACAAGUAGAGCUGAAAUGUCUUUUUAUUUUACUUAUUGUUUGCAUGAUUGAAGGGCACUCACAAGGAUAUGUGGGAAACUGUAAUCCAGAUUUAACUUGAAAUCAAAAGCGCCUGUGGUUACAAUAAACAAGUAUCUGAUAGCUGA